UAAUACGUAGGGGGCAAGCGUUGUCCGGAUUUAUUGGGCGUAAAGAGCGUGUAGGCGGUUAGGUAGGUCCGUUGUGAAAACUCGAGGCUCAACCUCGAGACGCCGAUGGAAACCAUCUGACUAGAGUCCGGAAGAGGAGAGUGGAAUUCCUGGUGUAGCGGUGAAAUGCGCAGAUAUCAGGAAGAACACCCGUGGCUAAGGCGGCUCUCUAGUACGUGACUGACGCUGAGACGCGAAAGCGUGGGGAGCGAACAGGAUUAGAUACCCUGGUAGUCCACGCCGUAAACGAUGGGUGC
Molecule: ribosomal RNA, 296 nt
Filed under: uncultured bacterium
Lineage: Bacteria
Description: partial 16S ribosomal RNA
Rfam family: Bacterial small subunit ribosomal RNA
Source: RNAcentral